Molecule: unclassified non-coding RNA, 336 nt
Filed under: soil metagenome
Description: partial contains 5.8S ribosomal RNA, internal transcribed spacer 2, and large subunit ribosomal RNA
Rfam family: 5.8S ribosomal RNA (bases 1-120)
Source: RNAcentral
GAUGAAGAACGUAGCGAAAUGCGAUAAGUAGUGUGAAUUGCAGAAUUCAGUGAAUCAUCGAAUCUUUGAACGCACAUUGCGCCCCUUGGUAUUCCAUGGGGCAUGCCUGUUCGAGCGUCAUUUGUACCUUCAAGCUUUGCUUGGUGUUGGGUGUUUGUCUCGCCUUUGCGUGUAGACUCGCCUUAAAAUAAUUGGCAGCCGGCGUAUUGAUUUCGGAGCGCAGUACAUCUCGCGCUUUGCACUCAUAACGACAGCGUCCAAAAGUACAUUUUACACUCUUGACCUCGGAUCAGGUAGGGAUACCCGCUGAACUUAAGGAUAUCAAUAAGCGGAGGA